This 334-nucleotide unclassified non-coding RNA is filed under the name soil metagenome. RNAcentral describes it as "partial contains 5.8S ribosomal RNA, internal transcribed spacer 2, and large subunit ribosomal RNA". The stretch from base 1 to 120 matches the Rfam family "5.8S ribosomal RNA", at positions 35 to 154 of the family's 154-position model. The record is from RNAcentral.
GAUGAAGAACGCAGCGAAAUGCGAUAAGUAAUGUGAAUUGCAGAAUUCAGUGAAUCAUCGAAUCUUUGAACGCACAUUGCGCCCGCCAGUAUUCUGGCGAGCAUGCCUGUUCGAGCGUCAUUUCAACCAUCAAGCCCCAGGCUUGUGUUGGAGCCCUGCGGCUGCCGCAGCCUCCCAAAACCAGUGGCGGGCUCGCUAUCACACCGAGUGCAGUAGUUUACUCUUCGCUCAGGGCGUGUGGCGGGUGCUAGCCGUGAAACCCCCAACUUCUCAAGGUUGACCUCGGAUCAGGUAGGAAUACCCGCUGAGCUUAAGCAUAUCAAUAAGCGGAGGA